RNAcentral lists this ribosomal RNA (481 nucleotides) under uncultured bacterium. RNAcentral describes it as "bacterial SSU rRNA". It matches the Rfam family "Bacterial small subunit ribosomal RNA", at positions 30 to 504 of the family's 1533-position model. The record is from RNAcentral.
UGAACGCUGGCGGUAUGCUUAACACAUGCAAGUCGAACGGUAACAGCAGAGCUUGCUCUGGCUGACGAGUGGCGGACGGGUGAGUAACGCGUAGGAAUCUGCCUGAUAGUGGGGGACAACCUGGUGAAAACCAGGCUAAUACCGCAUACGCCCUACGGGGGAAAGCGGGGGAUCUUCGGACCUCGCGCUAUCAGAUGAGCCUGCGUCGGAUUAGCUAGUUGGUAAGGUAAUGGCUUACCAAGGCGACGAUCCGUAGCUGGUUUGAGAGAACGACCAGCCACAUUGGGACUGAGACACGGCCCAGACUCCUACGGGAGGCAGCAGUGGGGAAUAUUGGACAAUGGGGGCAACCCUGAUCCAGCAAUACCGCGUGUGUGAAGAAGGCCCGAGGGUUGUAAAGCACUUUCAGUAGAGAAGAAAAGCCCAAGGUUAAUAACCUUGGGUCUUGACGUAACCUACAGAAGAAGCACCGGCUAACUCC